GAGGCAGGAGAAUUGCUUGAACCCAGGAGGUGGAGGUUGCAGUGAGCCGAGAUCUCGCCACUGCACUCCAGCCUGGGUGACAGAGCGAGACUCCAUCU
This 98-nucleotide microRNA precursor is filed under the name Pan paniscus (pygmy chimpanzee). RNAcentral's name for it is "miRNA (ENSPPAG00000012408.1)". Lineage: Eukaryota; Metazoa; Chordata; Mammalia; Primates; Hominidae. The record is from RNAcentral.